This 146-nucleotide ribosomal RNA is filed under the name uncultured eukaryote. RNAcentral's name for it is "partial small subunit ribosomal RNA". It matches the Rfam family "Eukaryotic small subunit ribosomal RNA", at positions 1294 to 1461 of the family's 1831-position model. The record is from RNAcentral.
UUAGUUGGUGGAUUGAUUUGUCUGGUUAAUUCCGACAACGAACGAGACCUUCGCCUGCUAAAUAGGGCCUGUCAAAUCUAUUGACAGUGCACCUUCUUCGCGGGACCGUGCGCGUCUAGCGUAAGGAAGUGAAGGCAAUAACAGGU